GCGCGAAAACUUUACAAUGCGGGAAACCGUGAUAAGGGAACUCCGAGUGCCCGUAAAAUCGGGCUGUCCAUCUGUUUAAAUAACAGGUGAAGAAAGGGCCGGGCAAGACCGGUGCCAGCCGCCGCGGUAAUACCGGCGGCUCGAGUGGUGGCCACUAUUACUGGGCUUAAAGCGUUCGUAGCUGGUCUGUUAAGUCUCUGGGGAAAUCUACUGGCUUAACCAAUAGGCGUUUCAGGGAUACUGGCAGACUAGGGACCGGGAGAGGUGAGAGGUACUCCAGGGGUAUGA
This 288-nucleotide ribosomal RNA is filed under the name uncultured archaeon. RNAcentral's name for it is "partial 16S ribosomal RNA". It matches the Rfam family "Archaeal small subunit ribosomal RNA", at positions 339 to 631 of the family's 1478-position model. The record is from RNAcentral.